Molecule: transfer RNA, 90 nt
Filed under: bacterium CG10_49_38
Lineage: Bacteria
Also listed under: 1 other name
Description: tRNA-Ser
Rfam family: tRNA
About the family: Transfer RNA (tRNA) molecules are approximately 80 nucleotides in length. Their secondary structure includes four short double-helical elements and three loops (D, anti-codon, and T loops).
Source: RNAcentral
GGAGGGGUGACAGAGAGGUCGAAUGUGUCGGUCUUGAAAACCGAAGUCUGGGCAACCGGACCGUGGGUUCGAAUCCCACCCCCUCCGCCA